Lacerta agilis (Sand lizard) is the source of this 161-nucleotide long non-coding RNA. RefSeq lists it as uncharacterized. Lineage: Eukaryota; Metazoa; Chordata; Lepidosauria; Squamata; Lacertidae. The record is from RefSeq and is a predicted model, not a curated record. The transcript has 3 exons.
AAAAUUUUACAUACAACGUUCAGGCUGGGUGCCGCCGCAUCCCGGGAGGGAAUGGAGCCCAGAAGAAGGCCUCGCCUCAGAGAAACAUCACGCUUCUGCACCGCUGUGGCUGCUGCCAAGACCCCCACCCAAAUAAUAUAGGAGCUGACUUUGAUUACCAG